CCUACGGGCGGCAGCAGUAGGGAAUAUUGCUCAAUGGAGGAAACCCUGAAGCAGCAACGCCGCGUGGAGGAUGAAGGUUUUCGGAUUGUAAACUCCUUUUGUUAGAGAAGAUAAUGACGGUCUCUAACGAAUAAGCACCGGCCAACUCCCUGCCAGCAGCCGCCGUCAUACGGAGGGUGCAAGCGUUACUCGGAAUCACUGGUCGUAAAGAGCGAGUAGGCGGGAUAGCAAGUCAGAUGUGAAAUCCUAUGGCUUAACCCUGGAACUGCAUUUGAAACUGUUAUUCUAGAGUAUGGGAGAGGUAGGUGGAAUUCGUGGUGUAGGGGUAAAAUGCGGAGAGAUAAAGAGGAAUACUCAUGGCGAAGGCGACCUGCUAGAACAUAACUGACGCUGAUGCGCGAAAGCGUGGGGAGCAAACAGGAUUAGAUACCCUAGUAGUC
This 440-nucleotide ribosomal RNA is filed under the name uncultured bacterium. Its description in RNAcentral is "partial 16S ribosomal RNA". It matches the Rfam family "Bacterial small subunit ribosomal RNA", at positions 338 to 795 of the family's 1533-position model. The record is from RNAcentral.